RNAcentral lists this long non-coding RNA (3182 nucleotides) under Homo sapiens (human). Its description in RNAcentral is "non-protein coding lnc-CSPG4-1:15". Lineage: Eukaryota; Metazoa; Chordata; Mammalia; Primates; Hominidae. The record is from RNAcentral.
GUUCCUGGCUCCCUUUCGCCCGCAGGUCGCCCAAGUCCAGCCCCACGACGCAGUGCCGACUCCCCGCCGUGCCCCCAGCCCGGCCCGGGUUGCGGAGCCCUGCUCCUGGGCCUCUGCCUGCUGCGUCCACCCUGGGGGAAGCGCCCGUCGUACCCUCCACACCGGGGGCUUCCCCUGACCCCUUAGGCCCUCCCCCUGCAGGUGCCCUCGCGCCCCUCCCGGGGUCCCCAGGGAAACGUGCUUCCAAUCUUCCAGGAAAAAUUGAAGGCUCCGGAUGAGAAAAAGCAAACAAAGGACAGUGGGACCAUGGGCGUCCCCACCCCCACCACCCGCAGGCCCCACACUCAAACCAGCGCCCGUGCCCACGCCCAUGCAGCCGUCCUCCGCCAGGCCCCAAGAACGGCUGUUACUUUGGGGGCCGAGGCACAAGGGAGGCCCCAUUCAUCUUCCCUGGAGUCGGCAUCCCUUUGAUUGCGGGGCCACCUCUCAUCUGAACAUCUUCACCCCCCCCCAAUAUUCCUUCUGAACCCUCCAUCCUCCUUCUCCCCUUCUCUUGGGACCAUAAACCUACCCCAAGAGUGAGUCCUAGCUCCAGGGCCAGCUCCCAAUCCUGCCUCUGUCUGGUGGCAGCUGGGGCCAGGCUGAAGGUCUGUCCUAGACUGAGCCAUAAAGGCAAAAAUAAUACUUACUCCUAAUAGAAGUAAAGCACUUCACCCUAGAUGAGCCCUGGUCCUGGUCACACACAGAACCUAGACCUUUAUUUAGAGAUGGACCAUUAAUUUGUCAUGUGGGCUAGGCAUGGUGGCUCAAACCUGUAAUCCCACUUUGGGAGGCCCAAGCAGGAGGAUCACUUGAGGCCAUGAGUUCGAGACCAGCCUAGGCAACAUAACAAGACCACGUCUCUACAAAAAGAUUUAAAAAUUAACCAGGUUUGGUGGCAUGUGCCUGUAGUCCCAGCUACUGCAGUGAACCAAGAUUGUGCCACUGCACUCCAGCCUGGGCAACGGAGCAAGAUCCUGUCACAAAAAAAAAUUAUCACGUGGCCGAAGUUAUUUCCAGGCUCCGAGCGCCAGCUUCCUCAUCUUUCCAACAGAGGGCCUUCACCUGGGCUAAGUGUUAAAUCAGAAAGCCCCUAUUCAGAGGUUGGCCUGCAGUUCCCUGACCUGGUAACACUGGGGAGCAUUGGCUGCUGUCACCUGCCAGCUCCCACCCCCACCCAACACUUACACACCAAGCAUCACUAAUUUUUGCAGCUGCCAUGAUAAAUGGCACUGUUGGCAAAAUGACAUCUUUCUAAUCUGCCACAAGACAGACGGGUCCCCGAGCUCCCACAGCCUCCCAAGAGCCAGCCCAGGCCAUCCUUGUUGAGAGGAUGGGCAGAUGCAAAGCCCAGGGCCUGGGGGCGGGUGGGAUGGAGAGGAGACCUCAGGGCCCAGAAUCAAGGACAUCCCUAGUGGGGUUUACCACAGGCUCUUUUCUAAAUAUUUAGUUGUAUGUGUGCUUUUAAAAAUAUUCCAAAGAAUAUUAUAUGCUCUGUUCCUUUCUGACCAAAGUUAGGGCUUCAAUUCAAUUUUCUUUUCUUUUCUUUCUUUUUUUUAGACAGGGUCUUGCUGUAUCGCCCAAGCUGGAGUGCAGUGGCACAAUCACAGCUCACUGCAGCCUUGACCUCCUGGGCUCAAGCGAUCCCCCCACCUCAGCCACCUGAGUAGCUGGGUCUAUAGGCGCCAGCUACCAUGCCUGGCUAAUCUUUGUAUUUUAUUUUGUAGACACGGGGUCUCGCCAUGUUGUCCAGGCUGGUCUUGAACUCUUGACCUCAAAUGAUCUGCUUGCCUUGCUCUCCCAAAAUGCUGGGAUUUCAGGCUUGGGCCACUGCACCCAGCCUCAAUUUUCACUUUAAAUUAAAACCUGGAUAUUGUUCAGGUUUAUAAGGAUGAACCAUUAGACACUGGUUCUGAGGCGGUGCUCUCUUCCUGUCACCCUCUGCUCUGCGGAACAGUCUGCCUCUGCCUGAGCCAUUAGGUCUGGGGGCUUUCUCACCCCCCUCCUCCCUCCCACUCCCUCCAUGGCUCCCACCCUCCCACCCAGCCUCUUUGCUGACCUCAGCCGCAUCCCCUCCAUGCCUCACACUGGCCUGGGACUGCCAGGUUCCUGUGUCCAGGAGUAGAGGUGAAUUGGGGCUCUGGAUGCCAAGAACAGAGGAAGGACAAAUGCCAGCCCCAGAGACCCUCACCUCCUCAAGACCAACAGGAGCUGGCGCCUGUCCGCCCAGCAGCAGCAAAGCCAGAGCGGGUGCCAGCCAGGGUGGGUAGGCACAGGCCUGGGCUUGAAGAUUGAGACAGCGCUGCCCCCUCCUGGCUAAUUCACGGCUGCUCCUCUGACAGGCACUGCCAGGCUAAGCUGUUGAGGUUGGGGACAUAGUGAGUGACCCCAAAAACAGCAUGUGACAAGCUGACCUUCCCUGCAGUCUGCCCAGCUGGGAGCUGCCUCCCACUCUGCCCAUCCUGUCCGAGCUUCUCCCAAAGCAUCUUCCGGCCCUCACACCUUCAGGGCAAAGCCCGAGGCCCCUCCCGGCUGCCCACAAUGUGGCCCCGGGUAGCAGCCUCGCCCCCUGCACCCCAGGCCCCUGCUGCUCUGUGCCUCCCCAGUUCCCUGUCACUGCACCUGCAUGCUUUGCUCUCACCUUGACCUCCACCUUCGCCCUCCCCAGCAGUCUCCUCUUGUCCUCUUAGGUCCCUCCCCGAGGAAACUCCUCUCCCAACUCCCAACCAGAGGGACUCCGCUCCUCUGCCUGCACCCCGACCUGCCCUGCCCCUGUCUCGGGGACUGCACACUGUCAGCACAGUCCCACAGUUCUGGAACUUGGGAGAACCUAGACCUCUUCCAAGCCUACCCUGUGCACUGUCUAAAGGGCAAUCCUGAGCCCAGAGAGGGGCAGGAGCUGCACAAGGCCACACAGCCUGUAAUGGCAGUUAGGACUGGAAUGCAGCUCUCCCGAGUCUCUGCCUGGGGCUCCUUGGAGGACAGACACAUGGCUUCCCCACCUGGUGAACCAGAAUGGAACUCUUCAAGGACAGGGACUGUAUCAUUCCUUCCAGUGUCCCCAGCCCCUCACCCAGAGCAGGACCCACAGGAAGCAACUGUGAACAGAAAAGGAAAAAACAAAUACAUGAAAAUGUAUCUCU